RNAcentral lists this ribosomal RNA (501 nucleotides) under uncultured bacterium. Its description in RNAcentral is "partial 16S ribosomal RNA". It matches the Rfam family "Bacterial small subunit ribosomal RNA", at positions 30 to 523 of the family's 1533-position model. The record is from RNAcentral.
AUUGAACGCUGGCGGCAUGCCUUACACAUGCAAGUCGAACGGCAGCACGGGUGCUUGCACCUGGUGGCGAGUGGCGAACGGGUGAGUAAUACAUCGGAACGUACCUUAUCGUGGGGGAUAACGCAGCGAAAGUUGCGCUAAUACCGCAUACGCCCUGAGGGGGAAAGCGGGGGACCGUAAGGCCUCGCGCGAUUAGAGCGGCCGAUGUCUGAUUAGCUUGUUGGUGAGGUAAAAGCUCACCAAGGCGAUGAUCAGUAGCUGGUCUGAGAGGGCGAUCACCCAAACUGGGACUGAGACACGGCCCAGAGUCCUACGGGAGGCAGCAGUGGGGAAUUUUGGACAAUGGGGGCAACCCUGAUCCAGCAAUGCCGCGUGAGUGAAGAAGGCCUUCGGGUUGUAAAGCUCUUUUGUCAGGGAAGAAACAGCAGCUCUAACACAGUCUGCGAAUGACGGUACCUGAAGAAUAAGCACCGGCUAACUACGUGCCAGCAGCCGCCGUAA